GCAGAAGAAGCACCGGCUAACUCCGUGCCAGCAGCCGCGGUAAUACGGAGGGUGCAAGCGUUAAUCGGAAUUACUGGGCGUAAAGCGCACGCAGGCGGUUGGAUAAGUUAGAUGUGAAAGCCCCGGGCUCAACCUGGGAAUUGCAUUUAAAACUGUCCAGCUAGAGUCUUGUAGAGGGGGGUAGAAUUCC
This 190-nucleotide ribosomal RNA is filed under the name Aeromonas caviae. Its description in RNAcentral is "partial 16S ribosomal RNA". It matches the Rfam family "Bacterial small subunit ribosomal RNA", at positions 481 to 670 of the family's 1533-position model. Lineage: Bacteria; Pseudomonadati; Pseudomonadota; Gammaproteobacteria; Aeromonadales; Aeromonadaceae. The record is from RNAcentral.